AGGCCAACUUUUGUUGGUUGGGGAUUUUGAGUUUGCCAUGUGAGAUCCCAACAAUAUGAAGGGUUUACAUCAACAACUUGAACCUGCAUCAAGAAUGAGAUUGAGUAACAUUGUUACCCUCAGUUAUCAGACAAUAUACACUAAUAAUGCAAAUACUAACAGCCAAGAGAGCAAUUCAAGAGCAAAACUGAAUGAUGAAAAGGAGAAAAUUAUACUGCUAUGCUCAAGAAAAUAUGGCUGAAUGAUGAAAAGCCUCUAAAGAAAACUUUUUCAAGUACAAACCUGAAAGUAUGGCUGCAUUACAUGUUAUGCAGAAACCUUCAAAACCCAGUCCAUGAGUUAUCUAAGCCCCUGAAUAAACUGUUUUGAGGCAUCAUGCACAUCGAAUUAGCACCACAAUUUACUUCAUCAGUGGUAAAAAAAUUACC
Molecule: long non-coding RNA, 428 nt
Filed under: Sorghum bicolor (sorghum)
Lineage: Eukaryota; Viridiplantae; Streptophyta; Magnoliopsida; Poales; Poaceae
Description: long non-coding RNA (SBIC_LNC017394)
Source: RNAcentral